Non-coding RNA from Macaca mulatta (Rhesus monkey), 3477 nucleotides. NCBI's taxonomy places the organism in Eukaryota, Metazoa, Chordata, Mammalia, Primates, Cercopithecidae. The record is from RefSeq and is a predicted model, not a curated record.
CCACACACGCACAGUGGUAUCAGCUACACACGCACAGUGGUAUCAGCUACACAUGCACAGUGGUAUCUGGGAAUACUUUUGUGGACUCAAAGGUUUUCUACCUGAGAGGCAUAACGCAGGCCAGCUGAUUCAUCAGAAUCAGGUGAGUGUGACCUGCUGUCUUCCCUCCAGGCUGACUUGGGGACAGUGGCUAUGCUGUGGGUGGUGUUGGCCUCUGGGCAGCUACCGAAGAGGGUCAUCCCUAAGUACUCACGGGGCACCCGUUCUACACUGCCCGUGUAGACGAUUGGCUCUUUCGUCCUCAUGGUGGCUUCAUAGAGUGAGUGCCAUUCCCUAGUGUACCCAUUCGACAGGUGAGACGUCUGGGGUCAGAGAGGCGGUAACCGGCCUGGGAAUUCAGACAUGAACCUGGGUUUUGCUCUCAGCCCUGCCGUGCACUGUGCUGGAAUUCAGGCCUGAACCCUGUGACCUCCCUGCUCUAGAUCCCAAAUCUGCCCAGGUUUCCAAUCCCGAUGGGGCAGAGCGUGGUCCUGGCAGAGCCACUGGGAUGGAUCCACUGUGGAUGGGAUGGAUAGGAGGGUCCUCAGAACACCUCUGUGCCCUAAGCUGGGUCCUGAUGGUGGCUGUGGGCCCCCUGAACACACAUGGUCCCUUGUCCGGGGGAGCCUUCUGCCCUUGGGCAGUUGUGGAAAAUGAAGGACCCCUGGAGGGCUGGCUGGGGGGAGACCAUCUUCCCUUCUAUAAAGGGGUCCAGGCCCUGGAGUUCUCUCCAUGUAUUUCUUGCUCUGUCUGGUCCUCUCGAGGCCUCGCCCUCCUUUUGCCCCAAGUGUUCCCAGGAGGGACGGUCCAUCCAGGUGUUCUCCAGGACCAAGGACCCACUGUCCUUCCUCAGUGACAUGGGAAAAUGAAGCCCCCUCCUGUAGGGACAGCUCAGAAUGGUGGAGUCCAGUCCCUCCCCGAGUGAAGGUUUCCACUAGCACAACCGAUCAUUUUCAUCCUCCAAACCGAACACCCUCCUGCUCAACUGGCAUUAUUCCUAAAGUGGCUUCACUGUUCAGACUGAAGGGCCACGGGAGCCAAAGUGAUGAGCGGAGAAGAACAGAGCAGUCAGGAGAGAUCUUGAUCCCUGUAGGAAACUGGACAUCUCUGUGGUCCCUGAGCAUCCCAGGAGGCCGAUUGUACAGAGACCUCUGGUCACUGACCCCAGUCUCCCUCCACAUCCCUGGAAUAGCCCAUCAUGGGCCCUUCACCCUUGGCAGGUGGACACUAUUCAACCUGCUGGGGCAGGAUAGAAAUCAUAGAGGAUACAGAUAGUUUGCGGGCACAGGAGCGAGAGGACAUCAUUAUGAACUAUGAGAAGGGACACCUAGCCGGGCUGCCAGAGGACAUGGGGCCUGAGCCUGUUGGAAUCUACAACAACAUUGAUCACUUUGGGAUUCUGCAUGAGACAGAGCUGCCUCCUGCCACUGCUCGGGAGGCGAAGCAAAUGCGGCGGGAGAUAACACGAAAGAGCAAGUGGAUGGAAAUGCUGGGACAAUGGGAGACAUAUAAGAACAGUAAAAAGCUGAUAGAUCGAGUAUAUAAGGGCAUUCCCAUGAACAUCUGGGGCCAAGUGUGGUCAGUCCUGCUGAACAUACAGGAAGUCAAGUGGAAAAACCCCAGAACAUACAAGGUCAUGAAGGAGAAGGGCAAGAGGUCAUCUGAACACAUCCACCAGAUUGACGUGGACGUGAGCGGGACACUAAGGAAUCACAUCUUCUUCCGAUAUCGAUACGGAGCCAAACAUCGGGAACUAUUCUACAUCCUCUUGGCAUAUUCGGAGUAUAACCCGGAGGUGGGCUACUGCAGGGACCUGAGCCACAUUGCAGCCUUGUUCCUCCUUUAUCUGUCUGAGGAGGAUGCAUUCUGGGCACUGGUGCAGCUGCUGGCCAGUGAGAGGCACUCCCUGCAGGGAUUCCACAGCCCAAAUGGCGGGACAGUCCAGGGCCUCCAAGACCAUCAGGAGCAUGUGGUACCCACGUCACAACACAAGACCAUGUGGCAUCUGGACAAGGAAGGUCUAUGCGCGCAGGGUUCCUCGUUAGGCUGGCUUCUCCAGAUGUUGAAUGAUGGAAUCUCUCUUGGGCUCAUCCUGCGCCUGUGGGACGUGUAUUUGCUGGAAGGAGAACAGGUGUUGAUGCCGAUAACAAGCAUUGCCUUUAAAGUUCAGAGGAAGCACCUCAUGAAGACAUCCAGGUGUGGCCCGUGGGCACGGUUUCGGAACCAGUUCUUCCACACCUGGCAGUUGGAUGAUGACACUGUGCUCAAGCAUCUUAGGGCCUCUACGAAGAAACUAACAAGGAAGCAAGGGGACCUGCCACCCCCAGCCAAACCCGAGCAAGGGUCCUCAGCAGCCAGGCCUAUGCAGGCUAUGCAGGAAGACCCUCUGCAAGGGGGACAGGCAGACCCCUCCAGGCCCACCAGCCCGGUUCCAGUGGCCCAUUUGGUCAGCUUCCCUGCCAUGGGCACCUCGUUCUUCUACACCCUGUCCCGGUGGGGCUGUCCGGGAAGACACCUACCCUGUGGGCACUCAGGAUGUGCCCAGCCCGGCCCCAGCUCAGGGAAGACCUUCAGGACUCCUGGAGAUUCCUGCAGUGGAACUCGAUGCCCCAGCUCCCAAUGGACCUGGAUGUAGGGGGCCCUUGGUUCCCCCAUUAUGAUUUCGAACAGAGCUGCUGGGUUUGUGUCCCUUCUGAAUGUGUCCUGGACAGCCCCGGGACUGUGGGACAGGGCCAGCUCGGGAAGCCAGUGAGGACCCUGACACCAGGCCCUGCCCAGGCCCAUCAGGACUGAAAGAGGUCGGGAGACAUCCCACUGCAACAGGUCACCCUAUCUACAGACAAGAGUCUUGCACCCAAUUUCUACAAUGGUAUCAUAUCCCAGGAGGACCAGCUGGCCACCUGCUGGCAGGCGGAACACCCUGCGGAGGGGGUGAGAUUGGCUUUCACCGCACUGAGCCACAGUGUGGACAUGGACUUCCAGCCAGCCCUGCACUGCACCCAGCACUGAUUCCAACCAGGACACCUCCUUCGCAGCUAGUGACGAGAAGCAGCGCACUCCCACCUCAGGGCCUUGCCUCUGCUCCUCUACUUGGAAAGUUCUCAGUUCCCUCCAGGCUUCUAGAAGCAUCUGGGGCAGGGCUCAUGGCUGGAUAACUUCCCGAGGCUUAACAACCCAAGAAAGCUUCACAUCCUCGUUUUAUUUUUUGUUAAACUUAUGAAAAUUUAUUAAGAAAGUGUGCAGCUCGAAAGACCUUCACAGAUGGAACACACCAGCCCCCAGAUCACAAAGCCAACCAUGCCCAGCCCCUCCCAGCACCCCCAGCCGUGUGACCAGCGUUCUGAAUUCUGACGACACCGUGAGCCUGCCUUUGUACUUCACACUCAUGGAAGGAUAACAACAUUCAUGUUUUAAAAUAAAUGUUUCCUGUUGAAAUGA